RNAcentral lists this transfer-messenger RNA (354 nucleotides) under Sphingomonas ginsenosidivorax. RNAcentral describes it as "Sphingomonas sp. KHI 67 Alphaproteobacteria transfer-messenger RNA". It matches the Rfam family "Alphaproteobacteria transfer-messenger RNA". From Rfam's summary of the family: Bacterial tmRNA, also known as 10Sa RNA or SsrA, is named for its dual tRNA and mRNA-like properties. Its role is to liberate the mRNA from a stalled ribosome. The record is from Rfam by way of RNAcentral. Lineage: Bacteria; Pseudomonadati; Pseudomonadota; Alphaproteobacteria; Sphingomonadales; Sphingomonadaceae.
GGGCUUUCCAUGGCGCCGCAUCGUCCCUAUAUCGGUCGGGCCGAUGGGGGAAUUUUCUCCUGCCGGCUAUGGCGAUAAACCGUGGCGUGUCAUAGACACAGCGGACCCGGGGGCAGUACCCGGCGACUCCACCACCGCCCCUUUGCAAAGAGGGACGAUGACGGGGUCGAACUAGGAUCGACGUGUGUUCAACGACGCUAUGUUUCGCUCGGAAUGGGACCACCGCAACGGCCCAUACACAAGUGCCAACGAUAACGAAGCACUCGCAAUUGCCGCAUAACUGACGGUCUAACGACCUAAGUUAUACGGACGAAAGCGCGGUUCGGGCCACACCGGGCAACAGAAGUGGACACC